AGCCCUGUGGCUCAGUUGGUAGAGCAUGGUGUUAGCAACGCCAGCAUGGUGUGUGCAACGUCAGGGUUGUGGGUUCGGUUCCCACGGGGGGCCA
Non-coding RNA from Salmo salar (Atlantic salmon), 94 nucleotides. The record is from Rfam. NCBI's taxonomy places the organism in Eukaryota, Metazoa, Chordata, Actinopteri, Salmoniformes, Salmonidae.